UACGGGGGGGACAAGCGUUGUUCGGAAUUACUGGGCGUAAAGGGCUCGUAGGCGGCCAACUAAGUCAUACGUGAAAUCCCUCGGCUUAACCGGGGAACUGCGUCUGAUACUGGAUGGCUUGAGUUCGGGAGAGGGAUGCGGAAUUCCAGGUGUAGCGGUGAAAUGCGUAGAUAUCUGGAGGAACACCGGUGGCGAAGGCGGCAUCCUGGACCGAUACUGACGCUGAGGAGCGAAAGCCAGGGGAGCAAACGGG
Molecule: ribosomal RNA, 253 nt
Filed under: uncultured bacterium
Lineage: Bacteria
Description: partial 16S ribosomal RNA
Rfam family: Bacterial small subunit ribosomal RNA
Source: RNAcentral